CUGCCCGGGCUCGCUGCUGAGGCCUUGCAGCGCAGCACAGCACGGGAUACAAAGCCAUGCUGAAAUAAAUAGGGCAGGAGAUCUUUCUCCUUUUUAAUGCCUUUAUUAAAAGUGAUCAGCUCAGGUGGGGAGAACUGACCGGUCGAGGAUCAUGCUGCCGCUGCUCCCAGGAGUGGCACGGAGGAGGAGGAAAAGUGCAGCUUUGUCUGCUAAUCUGUGGGGAGAGCUGGGGCUGCCGUCCUCAGGAGAGCACCAGGAGACUCCUUGCCUCUCCGGUUUGACAUUCAGGGUCCUCUUUCCAGCUGACACAUUGAGAGAAGAAAGCCCAACAGUCAGCAGUGCAUGAUCCCAAACCAAUAUCAAGCCUGACAGGAUACAGAGCUGUUCAGCUGCACCAGUUCUUCAGGAAAUGUUCCUCCUCCCCCUCUGGAGCGAUGAAAGAAAAAAUAUCAAUACCACUCUGAAAAUCAGCAGUGGAAAAUAUGAUAGGAAAUAACCUGUUUCAGACUGUUUCUUGCCAUUUUAUUAAAGAUCAAAUCAAACUUGUCCA
Molecule: long non-coding RNA, 550 nt
Organism: Serinus canaria (Common canary)
Lineage: Eukaryota; Metazoa; Chordata; Aves; Passeriformes; Fringillidae
Exons: 2
Source: RefSeq, a predicted model, not a curated record